AAAUUGAAGAGUUUGAUCAUGGCUCAGAUUGAACGCUGGCGGCAGGCCUAACACAUGCAAGUCGAACGGUAACAGGAAACAGCUUGCUGUUUCGCUGACGAGUGGCGGACGGGUGAGUAAUGUCUGGGAAACUGCCCGAUGGAGGGGGAUAACUACUGGAAACGGUAGCUAAUACCGCAUAACGUCGCAAGACCAAAGAGGGGGACCUUAGGGCCUCUUGCCAUCGGAUGUGCCCAGAUGGGAUUAGCUAGUAGGUGGGGUAA
This 263-nucleotide ribosomal RNA is filed under the name Escherichia coli. RNAcentral's name for it is "partial 16S ribosomal RNA". It matches the Rfam family "Bacterial small subunit ribosomal RNA", at positions 1 to 260 of the family's 1533-position model. The record is from RNAcentral. Lineage: Bacteria; Pseudomonadati; Pseudomonadota; Gammaproteobacteria; Enterobacterales; Enterobacteriaceae.